This 253-nucleotide ribosomal RNA is filed under the name uncultured bacterium. Its description in RNAcentral is "partial 16S ribosomal RNA". It matches the Rfam family "Bacterial small subunit ribosomal RNA", at positions 524 to 776 of the family's 1533-position model. The record is from RNAcentral.
UACAGAGGUCUCAAGCGUUGUUCGGAUUCAUUGGGCGUAAAGGGUGCGUAGGCGGCGCGGUAAGUCGGGUGUGAAAUCUCGGAGCUUAACUCCGAAACUGCAUUCGAUACUGCCGUGCUUGAGGACUGGAGAGGAGACUGGAAUUUACGGUGUAGCGGUGAAAUGCGUAGAUAUCGUAAGGAAGACCAGUGGCGAAGGCAGCACUCUGGGACGUGACUGACGCUGAGACGCGAAAGCGUGGGGAGCAAACAGG